This 492-nucleotide ribosomal RNA is filed under the name uncultured bacterium. RNAcentral's name for it is "partial 16S ribosomal RNA". It matches the Rfam family "Bacterial small subunit ribosomal RNA", at positions 29 to 507 of the family's 1533-position model. The record is from RNAcentral.
AGUGAACGCUGGCGGUAGGCCUAACACAUGCAAGUCGAACGGCAGCACAGUAAGAGCUUGCUCUUACGGGUGGCGAGUGGCGGACGGGUGAGGAAUACAUCGGAAUCUACUUUUUCGUGGGGGAUAACGUAGGGAAACUUACGCUAAUACCGCAUACGACCUACGGGUGAAAGCAGGGGAUCUUCGGACCUUGCGCGAUUGAAUGAGCCGAUGUCGGAUUAGCUAGUUGGCGGGGUAAAGGCCCACCAAGGCGACGAUCCGUAGCUGGUCUGAGAGGAUGAUCAGCCACACUGGAACUGAGACACGGUCCAGACUCCUACGGGAGGCAGCAGUGGGGAAUAUUGGACAAUGGGCGAAAGCCUGAUCCAGCCAUACCGCGUGGGUGAAGAAGGCCUUCGGGUUGUAAAGCCCUUUUGUUGGGAAAGAAAAGCAGCAGGUUAAUACGCCGCUGUUCUGACGGUACCCAAAGAAUAAGCACCGGCUAACUUCGUG